RNAcentral lists this non-coding RNA (196 nucleotides) under Alistipes sp. CHKCI003. RNAcentral also lists the same sequence under 1 other name. The record is from RNAcentral. Lineage: Bacteria; Pseudomonadati; Bacteroidota; Bacteroidia; Bacteroidales; Rikenellaceae.
UAUCUUUGCGGCAGAUUUGGUCUCCUGCCGCCGUCGGGCGGAGGGGUGAAAAGGGAAUCGGGUGCAAAUCCCGGACAGUCCCGCUGCUGUGAAGCUCCGCGUUCGUUCCGAACAUCUCGGCCACUGAUCCUCUCGGGAUCGGGAAGGCUUCGGAACGGGAGUAAGUCAGAAGACCUGCCAAGUCGAUUCGAUGCCG